This 393-nucleotide ribosomal RNA is filed under the name uncultured bacterium. Its description in RNAcentral is "partial 16S ribosomal RNA". It matches the Rfam family "Bacterial small subunit ribosomal RNA", at positions 523 to 918 of the family's 1533-position model. The record is from RNAcentral.
AUACGGAGGAUCCGAGCGUUAUCCGGAUUUAUUGGGUUUAAAGGGUGCGCAGGCGGGAGAUUAAGUCGGCGGUGAAAUUUUGCAGCUCAACUGUAAAAGUGCCUUCGAUACUGGUUUCCUUGAGUGUGGAUGAAGUAGGCGGGAUUUGUGGUGUAGCGGUGAAAUGCUUAGAUAUCACGAGGAACUCCGAUUGCGCAGGCAGCUUACUAAACCACUACUGACGCUCAGGCACGAAGGCGUGGGGAUCAAACAGGAUUAGAUACCCUGGUAGUCCACGCAGUAAACGAUGAUUACUGGCUGUUUGCGAUAUAAUGUAAGCGGCUGAGCGAAAGCGUUAAGUAAUCCACCUGGGGAGUACGUUCGCAAGAAUGAAACUCAAAGGAAUUGACGGGG